Molecule: ribosomal RNA, 254 nt
Filed under: uncultured bacterium
Lineage: Bacteria
Description: partial 16S ribosomal RNA
Rfam family: Bacterial small subunit ribosomal RNA
Source: RNAcentral
UACGUAGGGUGCGAGCGUUGUCCAGAAUUAUUGGGCGUAAAGAGCUCGUAGGCGGUGUGUCACGUCGGCCGUGAAAACCUGCAGCUUAACUGUGGGCGUGCGGUCGAUACGGGCAUCACUGGAGUUCGGCAGGGGAGACUGGAAUUCCUGGUGUAGCGGUGAAAUGCGCAGAUAUCAGGAGGAACACCGGUGGCGAAGGCGGGUCUCUGGGCCGAUACUGACGCUGAGGAGCGAAAGCGUGGGGAGCAAACAGG